UCCAUUUAUUUGGGAAAUCUGUUCACUGCCCAUAAAGUAACUUUACUGUAAACACUCGGAUACUAGGAGAAUAACGACAGGCAUUAAAAUGAAAAGUCAGGCAGCAUUGACUUUGAACACAGAUUUUACACUUUGAACGUUAUCGUUCCUUUGUUUGAUGGUGGACGAAGUGUUCUCAUUGUACGAUUUGGCGAUCUCGUCGAUCUGAACUAUAUAUACACGAAGGUCUAUCGCAAGGCAUUGAAUAAACGCCGAAUGGUAAAGGAGAGACGUCAGAGAUUAAUGGCCAAGAAAUAUCUCGUUUUUCUGCCUUCUUACGUGUACGCAACUUAGAAUACAGUAACGUAAGUUUCCUUAGGGAAAAUGGUGAUACAGGAGACUUCAUCACUUUUGUAACGUAGACAUGUGUAGCAACUUAUGAGUAUUGCAUAGGGUAGAUCAGGUGCCUUAUGUUCAUAAAUACUGAUGUAAGUAGAAUUUCACUCUGGAGUCACCCAGAAUUCAUUAGUGUUACAGCCUUAAGCCUUAUAUACUGAAGAGGCUUCUGAAAUGUUAAGAAUUAGCCUGCAUAGGGAGACAACCCAUGGGAAAUCUAUGUUUUAUAAAUUAUGUGGAGGUACUUAGAGACAUUACUGUCGCCAACAAAUAAGCGAAAAGAGAUUUUUGCGCGUACUCCGAAUUUUUCGUUUCGUUCACGUACGAAAAGAAUUUGCACGCAGAUAAAUUUCGUGCAAAUGCGAGUGUCUGUGCUAACGAAUGACCUUGAACCAACUUAACCGACUUGUGUGGCUUCCACGAGGGAAGAAAUUCAACGGUUUCCAGGGACGAAUGCAACCGCAUACGCGACACAAGUGCACUCUAGCUGCAUUCCAUAUGUGCCUCGUUCCAACGAAUUGCGAUGUUUCCAAAUUGUUACAUCGAUUACAUAAUUUCACGAGCUUACAUAAUUUCCAGAAUAUCUUUAUUCUAGUUCUAGCAUGCGACGAAGGUUUUCGGCCAGCUCUUUUGAUAUUAUGAUAAUAAAGCGAAUACAUGACCUUAUAUAGGCAGGGAAUAUCCGCUAUCUGCACCAUCUGCGAACAUUUCAAACCUACACAUGGUACUUAUUUCAAGUACCAUGUGGGUGGACAGUUACACAAGCCGAAGGGUAUCAGCCUUAAUAGCAAAGUGUAUAGCUCAAUGACAGGCGCUAAUAUCUUGGUUCCUAAUUGCGCCAAUGUAUACCUUGUUCGUGCCCAAUCGCCCUUGGAGAACUAACUUCAAAGUCAAACGAGCAGAGUAUCAUCAUUACUUCGAUCAUUCUAUGAACACGUAGAGUCUCAACCACAUGUUGCAAAUUCCAACUGAUAGUCACCUCGGGUAUUUCUUUUUCAUUGAAGUGGCCUCUUUUCUCAAAAAUAAACCGGGACACUCGGCAGGCAGGGAAGCCUAGCUAUACACGUGUCGAUCCGACACGAGAGAGACGGAUAAACGGACGAGUACGAAACCGACAUGCCAGAAUACAAGUUGCAGAGGUGGCGGAUGUGGAAUCGUAUAAGCGAUGGCAGAAAGGGGUUGGAGUGGGAGGGGAGCUGGGUAUAUCGACCUUUGCGGCUCACAGUGAACGCGCGGAAAGCAGUUGUAUAAAAUUUCUAAUAGCAAUUGUCGACAUAUGUACGGUGCAUAAUCAGGAAACGGCAACCUAGGAAACUUUUUCGAAGGAAAUCUCUCGCGAAACAAGGACGAGUGCGCCUCUUUUUAAAUUUUAACGAGUUUCUGCAUAUUAAUAGAUCAUGUAAUUUCUCUGUGGACGCUUUUGGAAGUAGGCAAUUAAUAUUCAAAUCCCAAGCGAGUUUUUAUAUACUCUGUUCGCUACGACCUCUUUUCCGCUUACUUUUUGCAACCGAAAAUAAAAGUGUCGAGUACUGACCGAUGCAAAGCAUUUCUCAAGAUGCGAAAUUCAAACUGACAAAAAUGUGGUAAUAGAACGCGUUACUCGAAUUGUAUUGUAUUCUCGCGCGUAUAAUAUUUUUAGAACGACGUAUAUAAAACGAGGAGCAGUCAGGGACGUACAAAUACAAAGUGCAAUGUGCUCGGAGAUGGUCUGAAUGAACGGGUGUCGUUCGGUCUCCAAUAACCGAGCUAUCGGAAACAUAUGCGCGCUAUUUCGAUCCGUUAAAGUAAUUGUGAAAUGCUCGCUAUUGUUUCGAGCGUUAUCUUAUCUCCGUGUUUAUCGCGAUAUCAAAAAUUAUUCUUUUUCUAAGUUGGACCAACUUUCCUUGUUUACUCAAGAUAACAUUCCGUACUACCGAGUCCUUGCAAUUAGUGAAAUCGAGUUUAUCAACAAGACGUCUAUCGCAUUCCAAAGUAUUAAAUCUCAGAUAAUUCGUGCACCGCUUAGAAAGUCAUUUUGGCGCAAAGCUGUCGGUCGAAUUUCCGCUAUAGACAGCUCGAGAAACAAGAGUCGCUAAUUACUCCCCGCGCUAAACGUACUCUUCUUUCACUGUACUUUUCUCGUCUUCCCGUCGCGACACACUCGUUUUCGCCAGCUUUGCGGUUUGGUUAAAUUAAUUGGCAGUCAAGUUGCCGCACUCUGCUCUGAUAAUAAUACGAAAAUCAAUUUCCGCAUGCAUGUCCUGAAUAUCUAAGUUUCAAGACGGUACUUAAAAUAUGCACUUAACAAUUUUAGACUUUCAUAUUUUCCGUAAAGAAGCCAGAUGCGCUCUUGACUAUCUAGAAAGGAUUAUGUGCUUUCACUGAAGCAUAGGGAAAAUGACACAGGAUGGUUGGGUUUCUCCAAGGUGAAUUGCGAUAUAAGGAAAGGAGUUCUAGUGGUAACGACUGAUAUAUCUGGAGUGCCAGAACGAAUCGAUGGAACCCUUGCGUCACCAUUUCUCUGAUGGAGAAACUUAUCGUUCUCGGUGACCAUUAUUUAGGUAGAUAAGCAGAGGUAAAGCAUUAAUAUAUGAACAGGUUGCUCGAAGUAUAUUAUUCUUGUGGCUUAAUUCGUUUUGUCCUGAUUUCGUACUGCGCUGGCCAGACGGUACAAAUUAACCUUUGAAAAAUAUCAGAAUGGUAGCAAACCGGUAAAGGCCAAGGGGACGAAGGCGACGAAGGACAAAAGCGAGCAAAGGAAGGAUCGGCGGGAGCGGGCCUGCGCCGUCUGACCGACACGUAUAAAUAAAGAGUCGGUUUAGCUGCGACGUUGCCGGAUCUAGGUAAUAUUGAUCCACUCGAACUCGGCAUGGUCGGCAGCCGGGGGUCACACGGGAAAACCCGGCAACGUUGCUCUGUUCCCAGCUGAUCGAGCUUUACUCGUGUCCUGCUCGACGCUCGACCGUGUCUCUUCGUUUCUUCGCCUUCUUUCUUCGUCCCGUUCACGCGUUCCCUCUCUUUUCGCUGUAACUAGCAACCGCCACUUAUCGUUCUGCCGGUAACCUCAGGCCUUUCCUUUCUUCUUAUAUCGCCCGCUCUCGCCGCCAUGCCGCUCCGUUUUAACUCGAACGCCACGCGAAUUCUUUCUUCCAUUCGGUUCGGCAUAUACAGCACAGUCGCGAACGACAUUAUGCAACGAAGAAAGGCUCCGACAUUCAAUGUAUACGUAGACGUACGGAUAUGAAAGCGUCGAAUACGUGUACAUGUGAUGGUAUUCGUCGAGUAAACAAAAGAUUUAAUAAUUAAUCGGUUUAGGUACGACGCCAAAGUCUGUCACCAGUCUGACCUCCAUCGAAUUGGACUUCGAUUUUCGUAAUUACGACGUAUGAUUUUAUGCCAAAUUCCGUAUUCACGAGCUUUGAUAGCGACGGAACAUGCUAUCCUUUAAAAUUAGCUACCCUUCUUUCUUUCGUCUACUACCCGUCCGACGUUUUUGACCCUCGUGAAAACCGCCUGCCAACGGUGUUACGUAACCGUAGCAUCAAAUUCGCCGCGUAAGGAAUCUAUGGCGUAAUUCGAUGAUUUAAAAAUGCGAUGAAAGUUUAAAAACUCCUCGUAAAAACCAAGAGUAAUUUUUAUUCUAGAUUUAUUGUCGUUAGUGUUCUUCGAUACAGAGUUCUACGCAUUUCUUAAUUCACGAUUAACUCGGUUUCUAAAAGCUAAUGCUAUCAACAUUCUUCGAACAUUUACUUUGAAAGGAUUCCUUCCUUUGUUCUGUUUAUCGAUGCCAUUACGUAACACCUGUUAGCCAAUAAUUCCGUCUUUAUUUCUCAUUCAUGCUCUCUUUCGUUUAAAUUAUUGAUGUUGAACGACUAUCGGAAAAGAUAUCUCGAUUUUCAAUUGAUUGGUUAUCUAUUUCAUUUUUAUACGUAAUUGCCUUGAGCUUUGGUGCGAAACUUUCUUCGUUUUACAAAGUAGACUGAUAUCUGCGCGUGAAUUUCUACUCGUGGAGAUCUCCAUACUUGGUAUCGCGAUUUCUACACGCGAUUAUCUCUAUACGUAACAAUUUAACGCCUGGAGAUCUUUAUACGUGCUGAUCUAACACAUGGAAAUUUAUGCGUAUAGCAAACUAACUCGUGGAAGUUUAUAUGACAAUCUAACGUAUGGACAACGUAUGACGAUCUAACAGAAGAAGAUGUAUUAGGUGUGUCACCCUCUGCGUGUGGCGUAGCAACUUUUAAAGCAGAAUUUCCAUGAAAUAAUUCUGUUUCAGAACCUGUACAAAUACACUCAAAAAAUGUGGCGAAUCGAUGGAGACGGGAAAUGGUCCUUCGGUUACAAUUUCCCUUAACCAUGACCGACAAGACGAGAAGAAACCUUCAGCCGAAGUUUAGCAAUCAAGGUCAAAUUCAAUCUCGUUACGACCAUGCACGCAAAUCAAGUUUCGAAACAAAUUACGAAAACGAUUUACAGGGCUACGCUCGAAUUGCACAAUCCACGUUAAUUGCGAUUCGAACACAAAGUAUAAUUCAAUCAAUUGUCCGACAAACUGUGACCCGAUAAAGCAAAGUUAAAAAGAGAACUUUAUAUCGUUAUGUUCAAAAUAAUUUUCUUUAUCUCAAAUUUAUCUGCUACAACUUUCUGUACAAAGUUUCAAACAAGGUUUGUUAAAAACGCACAAUGUCUAAAGUCCUGAGAUACAUUUGAAUAUUACAGGUGAAGUCUUCUGAAUAGCUUUAAUAUUUGAUGAAAGAUGACAAGCUGAAAUUCAGUAUUAAAAAAAAAAACAGGAAAGGGAAGAAUACGUAAACUAACUUAUCAAGCAUAUCUGCGUAACUGGAGAAUAUAGAACGGUAGUUUAUGUUACACUACACAGUUAUACCGUUCACGCGAAUACAGUUACAAUAUAUAACACCUAACUUUUAAACACGUUAUUAAUACCGUUCUCGCGUUGACGUUUGUUUACCUUAAAUUACCGUAGACAUUAGACGUUAGACUUUAUUAAUAAGCCUGGCCAAAGAUCGGUCUCUGGCUGCUAAAUUAUACCAUUCUUUUGACACGUUUUGCUUGUCAUCUGCACGUGAUUAAGAAAACUGGCCUUUAUAGAUUAUGCUCCGUUCAAAACUGAAUAUUAGUUACCACUAAGCCAAAGUCUACUUGGCAAUUGCACAUGCAGACAGUUUGAACAAGUAAAUUAUAGCUGCACCAGGUUUCAUUAGGAUAAUGAAAUUCGUGUUUUUCUUAGAAAUACGCAGGCUCGACUCUUCUAUAAUUAACGACAGUAAAUGAAGGCACACUUUCCUUCGAACCUUUUACUAAUAACGUGAUCAAUUUUGAAAGUGUUCGAAAAAUUGCGUCGAAUUUAAGGAAUCAUAGUUCAGGUAAGAAUUCUAUUGAAUAUAAUUCAUGCUAGCAAUAAACUUUCUCACAUGUGAAUCACAGUUUUACACAGUUCGAAAGAAUUGUCGUUUCGCUUAGGUAUACGUCAUCAAAUUCAAACCGAGUGUCAGGCAAAUAUUAUGAUUAUUCGCUAAAAUUCAAGGUUGCGGAAAACAUAGUUUGAUAUGAGGGGGAAUGCUAGCUCGGUAAAGAUAUGUAAGUCACCCCAGUUUUAUAAAUAAAGCACCGUAAUUUAUAAAAUGAUAGCCAUUUUUAAUACGCAUUUACCGAUUUCUCGACGCAACGUUGGUCGUUAAUAAAAUUAAUAUUUUUUUACAAAUAUUAACGAGUCUAUCGCGUGUGUCGUGUCGUUAGGUUACUUUCCUAUCGGACUAGUAUAUCGGCGAUCGUAUCCAUUACAAACAAAUUAUCGGUUUCAGUCGAACGAUAAUUAGCACACGGACACGCUUUCGAACGUCAUUCGCCAUCGUAAAAACUGCAACGUAGCCAAUGUUUCUUUUACAUGAAAAUUUGGCAAUCAAUCUUGCACCGUUAUUUGAUUAACGAAUAUUGGCAAAUUUGUGCACAGCUAGUGGAAGCAGUCGCUGCAGGCCGCUGUACGAUGCAUAUUUAUGAAAUAAAUUCAACUCCGAUAUCUGGUAGUCGAUACAUCGUUUUUAUUUCUGCAUUCGCUAUUAUAAUAUACUUUGACUUUUGCAUUUUUCAUUUCGUGUAACUGGUUAAAAAUUAUAUGAAUUUCUCUGCUCCUACUUUACACAAGUUUUGAAAUUUUCGGAGAUAAUAUUAUAAAAUAUAAGGCACUGAAAUUAUGCCCUCAUGUCCAGCACGUUUCGCUUUCAUAGCACAAAUAGACCCUAAAAAAUGUGUAACAUCUCGGACCCCUCGAAGGCUAACUCUAUCAGUGUUAACAAAGGAAUCUUGAUGCGCCUCGACGCGUCAAACACCGAGCUGUCUAAAGCCAAGAGCAUCUUACGAUGCCACAAUAAUCUGGGGCAAGCUUAUCGCAGGUGCACAGCGUUUCUGAUUUCGUUACGAAAAAAAAAUUGGAAAGGUUUCAUCGAGCGAAAGAUACCGGUGCCUCUGUUUACCGAGCCAGAAAGAUAGCUGAUAAAAAUCGACUAAUUAGCAGGUAUAAUAAAAGAAGAAGCAGUAAGAACGUAGAGAAGGUCCACGCAUGCGCGAAUAGCAGAGCGCGUGCAUACAUAUCGUUUUGCAAAGAUUUGCAAAGAAGAAUAAAGCAAUAGAAGGAUUUAUACCGGGUCUCCGAUCAUAUGACUCGGAAAGUGCGUUCUAUCAAAAGCUGCGAUUUUCGAUGUUUCGUAGAUGACCCGUAAAUAUGAUCGGCAAGUACAAGUAAAGUUGUGUCGUAUCGAAUUAUUGCGACAGGAUAUCUCGCAGGAAUCCUGGGCUCGGUUAACGGUGGGCAAAAGAAUCGGAGCAGAGGGCUGUGCCUGAUCUCUCGUGGUUGUUCCCCUCUCGGGGCGGUUCGCCUAGCGAGGUGCAGAGAGAUCGGUUUUGCGUCGGCGCGGUUCCCGAGCUCGCAACGUUGCCGGCUUUUCGAGUCGACGGCCACCACGAGGAGAAGCCAACUCGGCUCGAGCGGAUCUCGCAGUUAGUUUUUGUCUUUGACACGCGACGGACGACGUUGUCGCGUCGCGAUGCACGAGUGUGUCAUGUGACACGCGAAAUAGGAGGAGAGAGUAACACCGUCUGUGUCGUUGCGGCACGAUUGACAGGGCCGCGGCCGUUUACAAAAGGAGAGACGACUCGCGCGAAAACGAAAGGGGAAAUAAACGCGGGACUGAGUGUGUGCGUGCGUGCAUGGGUGAUUGGAUGCGUGCGUGUCGUUUGUAUGCGUUACAUUCAUUUCUAUGCGUCUGGCGCGCGCGAGUGCUCGUACCGGUUGUUACCGUGCGCGGCGGUCGUUCUAUGCUGGCGGAUUUCCUACCCGUCCAAUUUCGGGACUCUGUAAGUCGUUUCGUCGGAGCGCGCACAAUUAUGUUACCGGCUCGACACGGCAAUAGCAG
Molecule: long non-coding RNA, 7781 nt
Organism: Megachile rotundata (alfalfa leafcutting bee)
Lineage: Eukaryota; Metazoa; Arthropoda; Insecta; Hymenoptera; Megachilidae
Source: RefSeq, a predicted model, not a curated record